GAUGAACGCUGGCGGCGUGCCUAAUACAUGCCAGUCGAGCGAACAGAUGAGGAGCUUGCUCCUCUGACGUUAGCGGCGGACGGGUGAGUAACACGUGGAUAACCUACCUAUAAGACUGGGAUAACUUCGGGAAACCGGAGCUAAUACCGGAUAAUAUAUUGAACCGCAUGGUUCAAUAGUGAAAGACGGUUUUGCUGUCACUUAUAGAUGGAUCCGCGCCGCAUUAGCUAGUUGGUAAGGUAACGGCUUACCAAGGCAACGAUGCGUAGCCGACCUGAGAGGGUGAUCGGCCACACUGGAACUGAAACACGGUCCAGACUCCUACGGGAGGCAGCAGUAGGGAAUCUUCCGCAAUGGGCGAAAGCCUGACGGAGCAACGCCGCGUGAGUGAUGAAGGUCUUCGGAUCGUAAAACUCUGUUAUUAGGGAAGAACAAAUGUGUAAGUAACUAUGCACGUCUUGACGGUACCUAAUCAGAAAGCCACGGCUAACUACGUG
This 497-nucleotide ribosomal RNA is filed under the name uncultured bacterium. RNAcentral describes it as "partial 16S ribosomal RNA". It matches the Rfam family "Bacterial small subunit ribosomal RNA", at positions 28 to 507 of the family's 1533-position model. The record is from RNAcentral.